This 395-nucleotide ribosomal RNA is filed under the name uncultured bacterium. RNAcentral describes it as "partial 16S ribosomal RNA". It matches the Rfam family "Bacterial small subunit ribosomal RNA", at positions 338 to 730 of the family's 1533-position model. The record is from RNAcentral.
CCUACGGGUGGCAGCAGUGAGGAAUAUUGGUCAAUGGGCGGGAGCCUGAACCAGCCAAGCCGCGUGAGGGAAGAAGGUACAGCGUAUCGUAAACCUCUUUUGUCAGGGAACAAAGGCGGGGACUAGUCCCCGGAUGAGGGUACCUUAAGAAUAAGGAUCGGCUAACUCCGUGCCAGCAGCCGCGGUAAUACGGAGGAUGCGAGCGUUAUCCGGAAUUUUUGGGUUUAAAGGGUGCGUCGGCUGCCUUGUAAGUCAGCGGGUAAAUCCUCGGGGUCAACCACCGGAGUGGCGUUGAAACUGGGGGGCUUGAGUAUGAUUGAGGUACGCGGAAGGCGCGGUGUAGCGGUGAAAUGCUUAGAUAUCGCGCAGAACCCCGAUUGCGAAGGCAGCCUGCC